GAUCCUGGCUCAGAAUCAACGCUGGCGGCGUGCCUAACACAUGCAAGUCGAACGCGAAAGUCCCGCAAGGGAUUAGUAGAGUGGCAAACGGGUGAGUAACACGUGGGUGACCUGCCUUCGAGUGGGGGAUAACGUCCCGAAAGGGACGCUAAUACCGCAUAACAUGCUGCCUUUUAACAGGCGGACAUCAAAGCUGGGGAUCGCAAGACCUAGCGCUGGAAGAGGGGCCCGCGCCUGAUUAGCUAGUUGGUGGGGUAAUGGCUCACCAAGGCAACGAUCAGUAGCCGGCCUGAGAGGGCGGACGGCCACACUGGGACUGAGACACGGCCCAGACUCCUACGGGAGGCAGCAGUGGGGAAUUGUUCGCAAUGGGCGCAAGCCUGACGACGCAACGCCGCGUGGAGGAUGAAGAUCUUCGGGUCGUAAACUCCUUUCGAUCGAGACGAAUGGCCUUCGGGUGAACAAUCCGGAGGAAUGACGGUACCGAGAGAAGAAGCCCCGGCUAACUCCGUGCCAGCAGCCGCGGUAAUACGGGGGGGGCAAGCGUUGUUCGGAGUUACUGGGCGUAAAGGGCUCGUAGGUGGCCAACUAAGUCAGACGUGAAAUCCCUCGGCUUAACCGGGGAACUGCGUCUGAUACUGGAUGGCUUGAGUUUGGGAGAGGGACGCGGAAUUCCAGGUGUAGCGGUGA
RNAcentral lists this ribosomal RNA (690 nucleotides) under uncultured Acidobacteriota bacterium. Its description in RNAcentral is "bacterial SSU rRNA". It matches the Rfam family "Bacterial small subunit ribosomal RNA", at positions 15 to 684 of the family's 1533-position model. The record is from RNAcentral. Lineage: Bacteria; Pseudomonadati; Acidobacteriota.